GAUGAACGCUGGCGGCGUGCUUAACACAUGCAAGUCGAACGAAGCACUUUAUUUGAUUUCCUUCGGGACUGAUUAUUUUGUGACUGAGUGGCGGACGGGUGAGUAACGCGUGGGUAACCUGCCUUGUACAGGGGGAUAACAGUUGGAAACGGCUGCUAAUACCGCAUAAGCGCACAGCAUCGCAUGAUGCAGUGUGAAAAACUCCGGUGGUAUAAGAUGGACCCGCGUUGGAUUAGCUAGUUGGUGAGGUAACGGCCCACCAAGGCGACGAUCCAUAGCCGACCUGAGAGGGUGACCGGCCACAUUGGGACUGAGACACGGCCCAAACUCCUACGGGAGGCAGCAGUGGGGAAUACUGCACAAUGGGCGAAAGCCUGAUGCAGCGACGCCGCGUGAGCGAAGAAGUAUUUCGGUAUGUAAAGCUCUAUCAGCAGGGAAGAUAAUGACGGUACCUGACGAAGAAGCACCGGCUAAAUACGUG
RNAcentral lists this ribosomal RNA (481 nucleotides) under uncultured bacterium. Its description in RNAcentral is "partial 16S ribosomal RNA". It matches the Rfam family "Bacterial small subunit ribosomal RNA", at positions 28 to 507 of the family's 1533-position model. The record is from RNAcentral.